Long non-coding RNA from Paramormyrops kingsleyae, 1094 nucleotides. RefSeq lists it as uncharacterized. Lineage: Eukaryota; Metazoa; Chordata; Actinopteri; Osteoglossiformes; Mormyridae. The record is from RefSeq and is a predicted model, not a curated record.
AGUGACCACCUUGCCACCCCACCGAACUGCUGUGGGACUGUCCCACCUGAUUCCCUGUCGGCCCACCCACGUUGUGAUUUGGUGGAUAGUUGAAAAGUGACACAGCUUAGGUCAGGGCUCGUUUCAGGUACCUGUCAGAAGGUGCAGGGACACGAAUCACCAUCACACUGAGUCACCCGGUGAUUUUUGAGCAUCCAGCGUAUCCAUUCUCAGCCGUGUCCGCUGCUGUAGUCCGGGUUAACGAAGACCUCGGGAACAGCGCAGCUGCAGCGCAACCGCAACACUGCCUGCGCAAGACUUACAGCAGCCGCUCCGCCUUCCUCGGUCUAUAUAAUACUUAUCGAGCCUGUUUCCAACUAAAAAGCUCUGUAAAACCAAAAAGGAAAGGCGAACGUUGUUCUGCAUCGGUAAAGUGCCCAUCCCGAAGACAGAAAUGGUGUGACUAUUAAUCAAUGCCGGCUCCUACGUGGCCAGGAAGAUCGCAAACUUCCUUUCCGAGAAGGAGCCGUCGGAUCCGGAGAAGCGAAGCGCCAUGGCGCCGUGCAGGACAGACAGAGCCAAGUGCAGCUUCGGCACCGACACGAAGGCACGGCGUUCCGUUCCGGCUGCGGGGACGGCAAGCGGCAUGUUGGAUUCUGAAACUGAUGGUGCCUCUCCUGCAACUGGCCCCGGGGAGAUGAAAGUGAGAUCGUAACGUCAAGUGGAGGAGUCGUCCCAGAAAUCUACCUUUGUGGGAUUAAUAAAGUUAAUCAUCUUACUAAAGGGAGCAGAAGAAAACUGAAUGUCCAAUGUUCCAUAGUGGAAGUGUGUGCUAUAAUGGUUUAAUGGGCUAUAAUGGUUUAUUCUCCAGUGUAACAGCAAUCUGUUCCCCAUCACAGCCAGUUGAGACGAUAUGGAUGUACAACUCCACCCAAAAAGAAAAAUGUUGCUUUUUUCUUGCUAUCGCUCCUCCUCCCAUGAAAAUGUGAUGCCUAUAGUCUGCUUCAGGGCCGCAGUAAAUGAUAGCUUGCUCACCACCCCCUCCAUCCAGGGGCUGAACAUGGCUUGAUUCCUGUGCUGUAGCCCAUCCAAUAAAGUGAGCCUCUUUCACGAUU